GGCGUAAAGGGCUCGCAGGCGGUUUCUUAAGUCUGAUGUGAAAGCCCCCGGCUCAACCGGGGAGGGUCAUUGGAAACUGGGGAACUUGAGUGCCGAAGAGGAGAGUGGAAUUCCACGUGUAGCGGUGAAAUGCGUAGAGAUGUGGAGGAACACCAGUGGCGAAGGCGACUCUCUGGUCUGUAACUGACGCUGAGGAGCGAAAGCGUGGGGAGCGAACAGGAUUAGAUACCCUGGUAGUCCACGCCGUAAGCGAUGAGUGCUAAGUGUUAGGGGGUUUCCGCCGCCUAGUGCUGCAGCUAACGCAUUAAGCACUCCGCCUGGGCAGUGCAGUCGCGAGACUGAGACUCACAGGAAUUGACGGAGGCCCGCACUCGCAGUGGAGCAUGUGGU
Molecule: ribosomal RNA, 390 nt
Filed under: Bacillus subtilis
Lineage: Bacteria; Bacillati; Bacillota; Bacilli; Caryophanales; Bacillaceae
Description: bacterial SSU rRNA
Rfam family: Bacterial small subunit ribosomal RNA
Source: RNAcentral